RNAcentral lists this unclassified non-coding RNA (84 nucleotides) under Soonwooa buanensis. RNAcentral describes it as "Flavo-1 RNA". The record is from RNAcentral. Lineage: Bacteria; Pseudomonadati; Bacteroidota; Flavobacteriia; Flavobacteriales; Weeksellaceae.
AUAUAGCCCCGAUGGAACGGCAUGUUUGAGCUCAUUAUAUUUUUUUUAAAAAUAUAAUAGCGAGUAGUGACAGCGGGAUUUGAU